This is an RNA transcript of Fopius arisanus, 773 nucleotides long. RefSeq lists it as uncharacterized. Lineage: Eukaryota; Metazoa; Arthropoda; Insecta; Hymenoptera; Braconidae. The record is from RefSeq and is a predicted model, not a curated record. The transcript has 2 exons.
CGCAGAAUAGCGAUUCGCGACGGCCGAUAGUCUGCAAUUAUAUCGUUUGAAACAGUGCGAGAUGAGCGAGAAAUAAAGAGAGGUAUGGUAGCAUGUGGAGAGAAAUAACGAGUCAACCCAUCGACAGGAGAAUGGAUUUCGAGUGCACAUCUGGUAAUGCAGCAAUGGCUCUUGGACGUGUCAGAGAUUACUCGGAAUACAAGUAAUUGCCGGAUGAGAAUCUCCCAGUAAAUUUUCUCUCUUCAUGUAGCUCUGAGACUUGGCAUUUGUCAAACCCUUCGGAUGAUACCAUAAUAAAGAACAUCGUCUUCAGCCGAGUGUUCAACCUCUGGUAUUUUCAUCGUUAUUUAUACGACAACAUGAGUGCAAAUGGUGGAGCAGUUAACGAGGAUAAAGCCUUAUCUAGAGUCGACGGUCGCCGAAGGCCUCGAGGCGCAUCCUCAUCUCUUGGGUAUUAGUCCAGGUGGAAGGCCCAGGCAAUCGCCGCAAUUAAUCCGAAAAUUAUGAAAUAAUUCCAGGGGAUCGGGUGAACAAUAAUCAACGGAUUUUCCACCGAGAAUUAUUGGAAUUGUCAGAUUAAUACUCUCAGAUAAUCAUUACAGAUUGCUCCAAUAACGAUCUAAAUACCAUUAAAGACUUUCCCUCCCCUCUAUUUAAUUUUUCAUUUAAAAUCCGUCACUUCUUUUUAUCCCGAUGUCAUGAAAAUAUAAAUUUAAUGCUCUUGAUUGGGAAUUCUAUUUCUUCAUACCAGUAAUAAAUUGCAAUUACAAGUU